AACUUCAGUAUUAUCCCUAAUAAUGCCCAGAGACUUCAAGACCUUUGUUAUCUCAUCUUCCUCUAUCUUCUCUUCAUCAAUAACUUUGUCAUCCUCAAAGAUAGUAGCUUGACAUUCUUCUUUAGGGUUAACUUCGGUAUUAACCCUAAUAAUACCCAGAUCUUUCAACGCAUAUGAGUGUUGUUCCUGCAAUUAACGUUCUUUGGCUUCCCC
RNAcentral lists this long non-coding RNA (213 nucleotides) under Vigna radiata. Its description in RNAcentral is "long non-coding RNA (VRAD_LNC016254)". Lineage: Eukaryota; Viridiplantae; Streptophyta; Magnoliopsida; Fabales; Fabaceae. The record is from RNAcentral.